CCUACGGGAGGCAGCAGUGGGGAAUAUUGCACAAUGGGCGAAAGCCUGAUGCAGCGACGCCGCGUGAGGGAUGACGGCCUUCGGGUUGUAAACCUCUUUCAGCAGGGAAGAAGCGAAAGUGACGGUACCUGCAGAAGAAGCGCCGGCUAACUACGUGCCAGCAGCCGCGGUAAUACGUAGGGCGCAAGCGUUGUCCGGAAUUAUUGGGCGUAAAGAGCUCGUAGGCGGCUUGUCACGUCGGAUGUGAAAGCCCGGGGCUUAACCCCGGGUCUGCAUUCGAUACGGGCUAGCUAGAGUGUGGUAGGGGAGAUCGGAAUUCCUGGUGUAGCGGUGAAAUGCGCAGAUAUCAGGAGGAACACCGGUGGCGAAGGCGGAUCUCUGGGCCAUUACUGACGCUGAGGAGCGAAAGCGUGGGGAGCGAACAGGAUUAGAUACCCUGGUAGUCCACGCCGUAAACGUUGGGAACUAGGUGUUGGCGACAUUCCACGUCGUCGGUGCGCNGCUACGACACUACGUCCCGUCCGUCGGGAGGUACGGCCGCGACGACGUAAACCGUACGAAGGUAAGUUAGUACGGCGUUGUAGACGUUGCCGACGGCGACGACGAGGGAGGAGG
Molecule: ribosomal RNA, 615 nt
Filed under: uncultured bacterium
Lineage: Bacteria
Description: bacterial SSU rRNA
Rfam family: Bacterial small subunit ribosomal RNA (bases 1-522)
Source: RNAcentral